Equus quagga is the source of this 354-nucleotide long non-coding RNA. RefSeq lists it as uncharacterized. The record is from RefSeq and is a predicted model, not a curated record. NCBI's taxonomy places the organism in Eukaryota, Metazoa, Chordata, Mammalia, Perissodactyla, Equidae. The transcript is spliced from 3 exons.
GGUAGGGUGAGAGGGAAGGGACAAUCUUGGUGAGGACGGCGACGCCAGCGCGAGGAGGCGCUGUGGAGGCUGAAGAACGGCGUCUGAGGCGAAAGCACUCCCUGGUGACUUGCGGCUCUGGAGACAAGCUGAUCACUCUAGCAUAGAAUGUUGGAAGAAUACCUGGCCCACAGUCAAAGAUGAAAAAGCCCCUGGCCUGGUCCCAGAAUCAACUCCUCAAAAACCCAGAUAACGGGGCUGGCCCCGUGGCCAAGUGGUUAAGUUCGUGCGCUCUGCUGCAGGCGGCCCAGUGUUUCGUUGGUUCGAAUCCUGGGCGCGACAUGGCACUGCUCAUCAAACCACGCUGAGGCAGCG